AGGGGCAGCAUAAAGGUAGCAAUACUUUGGUGGCGACCGGCGCACGGGUGAGUAACACGUAUGCAACCUACCUGUAAGAGGGGAAUAACCCGGAGAAAUUCGGACUAAUACCGCAUAAUACCGCUGAACUGCAUGGUUUAGUGGUUAAACAUUUAUGGCUUACAGAUGGGCAUGCGUAUGAUUAGCUAGUUGGUGAGGUAACGGCUCACCAAGGCAACGAUCAUUAGGGGUUCUGAGAGGAAGGUCCCCCACACUGGUACUGAGACACGGACCAGACUCCUACGGGAGGCAGCAGUGGGGAAUUUUUGACAAUGGGGGCAACCCUGAUCCAGCCAUGCCGCGUGAGUGAAGAAGGCCUUCGGGUUGUAAAGCUCUUUCAGCCGGGAAGAAAUCACAUGGGUUAAUACCCUGUGUGGAUGACGGUACCGGAAUAAGAAGCACCGGCUAACUACGUGCCAGCAGCCGCGGUAAUACGUAGGGUGCGAGCGUUAAUCGGAAUUACUGGGCGUAAAGCGUGCGCAGGCGGUUUGUUAAGAUAGGCGUGAAAUCCCCGGGCUCAACCUGGGAACUGCGUUUAUGGCUGGCAGGCUAGAGUAUGGCAGAGGGGGGUGGAAUUCCACGUGUAGCAGUGAAAUGCGUAGAGAUGUGGAGGAACACCGAUGGCGAAGGCAGCCCCCUGGGCCAAUACUGACGCUCAUGCACGAAAGCGUGGGUAGCAAACAGGAUUAGAUACCCUGGUAGUCCACGCCCUAAACGAUGUCAACUAGGUGUUGGGUGGGUAAAACCAUUUAGUACCGGAGCUAGCGCGUGAAGUUGACC
Molecule: ribosomal RNA, 819 nt
Filed under: uncultured bacterium
Lineage: Bacteria
Description: bacterial SSU rRNA
Rfam family: Bacterial small subunit ribosomal RNA
Source: RNAcentral